RNAcentral lists this ribosomal RNA (114 nucleotides) under Acanthosepion pharaonis. The record is from RNAcentral. Lineage: Eukaryota; Metazoa; Mollusca; Cephalopoda; Sepiida; Sepiidae.
ACUGUCAAAUCACGCUGAAAACACCGAUUCUCGUUCGAUCACCGAAGUUAAGCAUCGUAGAGCCAGGUCAGUACUUAGAUGGGGGGACCGCUUGGGAACACCUGGUACUGUAAG